This is a long non-coding RNA of Acinonyx jubatus (cheetah), 1058 nucleotides long. RefSeq lists it as uncharacterized. NCBI's taxonomy places the organism in Eukaryota, Metazoa, Chordata, Mammalia, Carnivora, Felidae. The transcript is spliced from 3 exons. The record is from RefSeq and is a predicted model, not a curated record.
CAAUGCCUUUUGCUAAAUCAAAUCUGAUUUUCCCAAAGCCGACCCUCAUAAAAGCAGCACCAAGUUCCAAGUGGCAGUGGGAGGAGCUGCCAGCAGAUUCACAGCUGAUUCUUCUACAGCAGGGGCCGGUCAGCGGAAAUGUGUUAGUUGUUGAAGGCCACGCGGUCUCUGUUGCAACUACUCAACUCUGCCGUUGUCCAACAAAAGCAACCACAGACUGUGGCAACCGCAGAUGUGGCUGUGCUUCCGUAAGACUUGAUUUAUAAAAACACAACCCACCGUUCACCGGCCCCUGUCCCACUGCUUCUAUACUCGAACCCAGGGCUCAGACUCUAAACUCCCGUAGCUGUGGGAACCGAAAACCAGACGUGCUCCGAAAGCUACAAAGACGGAAUCAUGACGAAGAGGCCACUUGUGCAAUACGCAGAUACAGGAGCUGUGUGACGGUUGUUAAGGCCCCACGGCUCUGUCGGGAGCACGCUUCAGCCACCUCGGAACACCCCCUUCCUUCGUGAGCAUCCACGGGCACAGGGGCGAGGGAACACAGAAGGGACAGGUGGGCAAGGACCAUUUUCAGACACAUGGGAAAUGUUUCGUCUGCAGUGGAGACGCCGGGCAGGCUCCGUGAAUCAAUCAUUUCCUUGCAUUAACACCUAAAUAGAACCAAAAGAAACCCAACAUGUGCCUUAAAACCAAAUUAAUCUCUAGGAAAAGCCAGGUGUGGGGAAGUGGGCGGGACCUGUGGAAGGAAGGCAGUCGGUUCACUAGAGGUUAGGAGGGCUUUGGUGUCAUUUGCUCCGUCACUUGCUAUGUGCGGGAGAGGCUUUCGUCUCCUGCCCUCCACCACCCAUCAGCGCAGGUCCACUGGGGCGGGGUGAGGGCGAGCCCGAAGCACGCAACUCAUGCAGGCUGCUGGAGCUGGGAAGUGGGUUGAAAUGAGUUCUCUCUCGCACUGUCUACACUACUGCCUCCCGACUGCCAAAGGCAGGCGAGAGCUCAGUGCACCAACAUCAGUAACAAAAUGAUCAACAAACAUCCAAAAUAUGUUUUCUGAUAAA